This 920-nucleotide ribosomal RNA is filed under the name Escherichia coli. RNAcentral's name for it is "partial 23S ribosomal RNA". It matches the Rfam family "Bacterial large subunit ribosomal RNA", at positions 236 to 1194 of the family's 2925-position model. Lineage: Bacteria; Pseudomonadati; Pseudomonadota; Gammaproteobacteria; Enterobacterales; Enterobacteriaceae. The record is from RNAcentral.
UCCCCCAGUAGCGGCGAGCGAACGGGGAGCAGCCCAGAGCCUGAAUCAGUGUGUGUGUUAGUGGAAGCGUCUGGAAAGGCGCGCGAUACAGGGUGACAGCCCCGUACACAAAAAUGCACAUGCUGUGAGCUCGAUGAGUAGGGCGGGACACGUGGUAUCCUGUCUGAAUAUGGGGGGACCAUCCUCCAAGGCUAAAUACUCCUGACUGACCGAUAGUGAACCAGUACCGUGAGGGAAAGGCGAAAAGAACCCCGGCGAGGGGAGUGAAAAAGAACCUGAAACCGUGUACGUACAAGCAGUGGGAGCACAGAGCAAUCUGUGUGACUGCGUACCUUUUGUAUAAUGGGUCAGCGACUUAUAUUCUGUAGCAAGGUUAACCGAAUAGGGGAGCCGAAGGGAAACCGAGUCUUAACUGGGCGUUAAGUUGCAGGGUAUAGACCCGAAACCCGGUGAUCUAGCCAUGGGCAGGUUGAAGGUUGGGUAACACUAACUGGAGGACCGAACCGACUAAUGUUGAAAAAUUAGCGGAUGACUUGUGGCUGGGGGUGAAAGGCCAAUCAAACCGGGAGAUAGCUGGUUCUCCCCGAAAGCUAUUUAGGUAGCGCCUCGUGAAUUCAUCUCCGGGGGUAGAGCACUGUUUCGGCAAGGGGGUCAUCCCGACUUACCAACCCGAUGCAAACUGCGAAUACCGGAGAAUGUUAUCACGGGAGACACACGGCGGGUGCUAACGUCCGUCGUGAAGAGGGAAACAACCCAGACCGCCAGCUAAGGUCCCAAAGUCAUGGUUAAGUGGGAAACGAUGUGGGAAGGCCCAGACAGCCAGGAUGUUGGCUUAGAAGCAGCCAUCAUUUAAAGAAAGCGUAAUAGCUCACUGGUCGAGUCGGCCUGCGCGGAAGAUGUAACGGGGCUAAACCAUGCAC